AAAUUGAAGAGUUUGAUCAUGGCUCAGAUUGAACGCUGGCGGCAGGCCUAACACAUGCAAGUCGAACGGUAACAGGAAGCAGCUUGCUGCUUCGCUGACGAGUGGCGGACGGGUGAGUAAUGUCUGGGAAACUGCCUGAUGGAGGGGGAUAACUACUGGAAACGGUAGCUAAUACCGCAUAACGUCGCAAGACCAAAGAGGGGGACCUUCGGGCCUCUUGCCAUCGGAUGUGCCCAGAUGGGAUUAGCUUGUUGGUGGGGUAACGGCUCACCAAGGCGACGAUCCCUAGCUGGUCUGAGAGGAUGACCAGCCACACUGGAACUGAGACACGGUCCAGACUCCUACGGGAGGCAGCAGUGGGGAAUAUUGCACAAUGGGCGCAAGCCUGAUGCAGCCAUGCC
This 401-nucleotide ribosomal RNA is filed under the name Escherichia coli. RNAcentral describes it as "bacterial SSU rRNA". It matches the Rfam family "Bacterial small subunit ribosomal RNA", at positions 1 to 398 of the family's 1533-position model. The record is from RNAcentral. Lineage: Bacteria; Pseudomonadati; Pseudomonadota; Gammaproteobacteria; Enterobacterales; Enterobacteriaceae.